Molecule: ribosomal RNA, 690 nt
Filed under: uncultured bacterium
Lineage: Bacteria
Description: bacterial SSU rRNA
Rfam family: Bacterial small subunit ribosomal RNA
Source: RNAcentral
AACGCUAGCUACAGGCUUAACACAUGCAAGUCGAGGGGCAGCACAGUGUAGCAAUACAUGGGUGGCGACCGGCGCACGGGUGCGUAACGCGUAUCCAACCUUCCCGUUACUCUUGGAUAGCCUUCCGAAAGGGAGAUUAAUACAAGAUGGUAUUCAAAUUCCGCAUGUUAUUUGAAUUAAAGAUUUAUCGGUAACGGAUGGGGAUGCGUGACAUUAGAUAGAUGGCGGGGUAACGGCCCACCAUGUCUACGAUGUCUAGGGGUUCUGAGAGGAAGGUCCCCCACACUGGAACUGAGACACGGUCCAGACUCCUACGGGAGGCAGCAGUGAGGAAUAUUGGUCAAUGGCCGGAAGGCUGAACCAGCCAAGUAGCGUGAAGGAUGAAGGUUCUAUGGAUUGUAAACUUCUUUUAUACGGGAAUAAAACCUCCCACGUGUGGGAGCUUGUAUGUACCGUAUGAAUAAGCAUCGGCUAACUCCGUGCCAGCAGCCGCGGUAAUACGGAGGAUGCGAGCGUUAUCCGGAUUUAUUGGGUUUAAAGGGAGCGUAGACGGGAGAUUAAGUCAGCUGUGAAAGUUUGAGGCCCAACCUUAAAAUUGCAGUUGAUACUGGUUUCCUUGAGUGCGGUUGAGGUGUAUGGAAUUCGUGGUGUAGCGGUGAAAUGCUUAGAUAUCACGAAGAACUCCGAUUG